ACCCAGUUCCUGCAGUGCUCAGUUCAUCAGACCAUUAAGGACCAUUUCAGACCUGGCUGUAUAGAGCCAUCCAGGAAUCCUCAAAGAAGACUGCCUCUGUGUUCCACUCCAGACUCCAGGAAGAAGGAAGCUGAGUGCCUUACCUGGAUGCAAAUGGGCUGAAGACAGGGGCCACCAUUAAUGGAACCUGAACAGUGCCUAACCUAACCCCUGUGGAUAUCUGUUGAAUGUUAAAUAAUAGCAGAGAUCAUGUAAUAAGGACACUCAGCUCACUCAGGAGAGAAUAUCAAACAGUCUGGAAUUUUCCUGUUGCUGGCAGCACAGCCCAGGAGCAUCCUGAGGGAACCAGAGUCUUUAUAGCAUCAGUGAAAAGGAACUCUGUCCUCCUUAUCUUCCUGCUUUUCUCAGUUCAGCCCCCAUUCUUAUUCCAUUGGUGCCUGGAGGAAGUCUUGGUUAAAAGCUUUCUGAUGGAGACAUUGAUGAUUAGUUUGGAAAGAGCCAGAGUGAGUGGUCCCGACUCCUCCCCCGCUUCCCCCGCUUCCAGGAUGUGCGGGGCUGCACCCAGAACAGAUGCCUUCCUUUGGACAAGGGUCUCAACACCUCUGGGGGCACUGCUGGUCUUGAGAUUCACUCCUUUUCUCAUGUUUGGUCCACUCAGUGUCAGAUGUUUUGCUAGGUGACAGGGAUAUAAUAAGUAAGACACAGUCCUGCCCUAAGAUGACCUCACUGUAAGUUAAAAAAUUAGGCUGUCCCUCUGGAUAAGUAUAAUGGCAGUGACAGGCAUGGCUUGGGGGUGGGCUCUGAGACCAAGGCUCAGAGCACCUGCCUUGUCUUAAUGGGCUAAUAGAAGCUUUCUGGAGGAGGUGACACCUGAGUUGCUUUCAAAGACAUUUUCCAAAUGUAGGAGGGGCCAGAAAAGAGCCUUUCAUUGUCACACCUUAUUUGCUAUUUGCCCCUUGAAAUCUAGGUAGAAUUAUUUUACCCCACAUUUCCAAAGCUUAUCAAAGUCCAAAGAGGGGGGGGUCUCUUCUCAUGGCCAUUUCUGCUUCCCUGUGUCCACCACUGAUUCUCUUGGCUAUGAUGGAGCUAAUGCUGGUUUUCGUGCUUUGUAACAUCUUGUUUGUCUUGAUUUUAGUCCCAUAUUUACUGACAAGGAGGCUGAAGGUACUUAUGAUAAUUCAGGUAGCCUAGUCUGUUUUCUAAAAUCUAAAACUACUAUCCCUUAUAUGUGAAAUCUAAAAAAAGCAUACAAUGAACUUCUUUGCAGAACAGAUACUGACAGACUUUGAAAAACUUACAGUUGCCAAAGGAGACAGGUUGGGGGGUGGGGGGAAUGGGCUGGGGUUUGGAAUGGAAGUGCUAUAAAAUUCAGUUGUGAUGAUUGUUGUACAACUAUAAAUGUAAUAAAACUCAUUGAGUUAAAAAAAAAUAAAAGCUA
Molecule: long non-coding RNA, 1438 nt
Filed under: Sus scrofa (pig)
Lineage: Eukaryota; Metazoa; Chordata; Mammalia; Artiodactyla; Suidae
Description: lncRNA (ENSSSCG00030005824.1)
Source: RNAcentral